GAGCGGAAACGAAGAGGUGCUUGCACCUCUGGCGUCGAGCGGCGGACGGGUGAGUAAUGCUUGGGAAUAUGCCUUAUGGUGGGGGACAACAGUUGGAAACGACUGCUAAUACCGCAUAAUGUCUACGGACCAAAGUGGGGGACCUUCGGGCCUCACGCCAUAAGAUUAGCCCAAGUGGGAUUAGCUAGUUGGUGAGGUAAUGGCUCACCAAGGCGACGAUCCCUAGCUGGUUUGAGAGGAUGAUCAGCCACACUGGGACUGAGACACGGCCCAGACUCCUACGGGAGGCAGCAGUGGGGAAUAUUGCACAAUGGGCGCAAGCCUGAUGCAGCCAUGCCGCGUGUGUGAAGAAGGCCUUCGGGUUGUAAAGCACUUUCAGUAAGGAGGAAAGGUUAAGUGUUAAUAGCACUUAGCUGUGACGUUAC
RNAcentral lists this ribosomal RNA (425 nucleotides) under uncultured prokaryote. RNAcentral describes it as "bacterial SSU rRNA". It matches the Rfam family "Bacterial small subunit ribosomal RNA", at positions 64 to 478 of the family's 1533-position model. The record is from RNAcentral.